RNAcentral lists this ribosomal RNA (361 nucleotides) under Aroramyces radiatus. RNAcentral describes it as "SSU rRNA". It matches the Rfam family "Bacterial small subunit ribosomal RNA", at positions 554 to 962 of the family's 1533-position model. Lineage: Eukaryota; Fungi; Basidiomycota; Agaricomycetes; Hysterangiales; Hysterangiaceae. The record is from RNAcentral.
AUAGGCGUAAGGGUUUGUAGGCAGCUUUAAUAUAAUUAAAGAUAGAAUCAAAUAGAGGACAAGAGAAUUCCUAGAUUAGGGUUGAUAUCUGUAUAAACUAGGAAGAAUUCUAAUUAGCGAAGGCACUUUUCUAUCUAAUGAUUGACGCUGAGAAACGAAGGGGAGGAUCGACAAUAGGAUUAGAGACCCUGGCAUCCCUCUCUGUAAACUAUGAAUGGUAGUUGCUAGUAAUAAUAAUUAGUGACGAGGCUAACGCGUUAACCAUUCCGCCUUGUGAGUACAACUGCAAAGUUGAAAACAAAAAAAUUAGUCGGUUUCGGAGCAAACGAAGUGAAGCAUGUUAUUUAAUUCGAUAAUCCGC